UACGUAGGUGACCAGCGUUGUCCGGAUUUAUUGGGCGUAAAGAGCGCGCAGGCGGUCGUUCAAGUCGAGUGUGAAAGCCCCCGGCUCAACUGGGGAGGGUCACUCGAUACUGCUCGACUUGAAGGCAGGAGAGGGAAGCGGAAUUCCCGGUGUAGUGGUGAAAUGCGUAGAUAUCGGGAGGAACACCAGUGGCGAAGGCGGCUUCCUGGCCUGUUCUUGACGCUGAGGCGCGAAAGCUAGGGGAGCAAACGGG
This 253-nucleotide ribosomal RNA is filed under the name uncultured bacterium. RNAcentral's name for it is "partial 16S ribosomal RNA". It matches the Rfam family "Bacterial small subunit ribosomal RNA", at positions 524 to 776 of the family's 1533-position model. The record is from RNAcentral.